UACAGAGGGUGCGAGCGUUAAUCGGAAUUACUGGGCGUAAAGCGCGCGUAGGCGGCUUUGCAAGUCGGGUGUGAAAUCCCCAGGCCUAACCUGGGAACUGCAUUCGAGACUGCAUGGCUAGAGUAUCGGAGAGGGAAGUGGAAUUUCAGGUGUAGCGGUGAAAUGCGUAGAUAUCUGAAGGAACAUCAGUGGCGAAAGCGGCUUCCUGGUCCAGCACCGACGUUCAGGCACGAAAGCGUGGGGAGCGAACAGG
This 253-nucleotide ribosomal RNA is filed under the name uncultured bacterium. RNAcentral's name for it is "partial 16S ribosomal RNA". It matches the Rfam family "Bacterial small subunit ribosomal RNA", at positions 524 to 776 of the family's 1533-position model. The record is from RNAcentral.